This is a long non-coding RNA of Manduca sexta (tobacco hornworm), 1798 nucleotides long. RefSeq lists it as uncharacterized. The record is from RefSeq and is a predicted model, not a curated record. Lineage: Eukaryota; Metazoa; Arthropoda; Insecta; Lepidoptera; Sphingidae. The transcript has 4 exons.
UUGUCCCCGGCGCACAAUGGACGUAUCUAUUAGUAUUUGCAUUUCACUGAAAGCAAUCUACAUUGCAAACUCGCUUAUGUAAUACGGCCGGUUACAAUAGGAAUCCUGGUGUGCACUCGAUCGACUGUAUUGAGGAUUACGAUUGAUUCCCGAAAUCCAAUGUUAUUUGCGGGAUUCUGUGGGCUUUGAUAAGUGUUGAUAGUCCAUUUGCUAUUGAUGAGCCUUUGGAAUGCUUUAGUUAAAAAAUCGUGAUCAUUUAUUGGUACUAAACAAGUAACAGUGAAGGAAAACAUCGUGAGGAAACCUGCAUACCUGAGAAAUUCUUUAUAGGAAUUUUGGUGUGUGAAGUCUACCAAUCCGCACUAGGCGAGCGUGGUGGACUAAGGUCUAAUCCCUCUCAGCAGUAAAGGAAGCCGUGUCCAGCUGCGGGAUAAUAUAAUACAGGGCUGAUAUUAUAUUAUUAAACAACCUGGUGAGGGUCGCCGGAGUCCGAUAGAUGAGGGCGGCACAAAACUGAUCCCUGUGACGCUCAAUGGGAGACGCCUAUGCCCAGCAGUGGACGAUUCCCGGCUGAAAUGAUAAUGAUAAUACCUCAUAAGUCCAAAAUUCCGCCUUCGCUCCAUCUCACCAACUUCCUUAAUAACCCUCCCUUGAAUAAUGUAAGAGUCAGAACACCUAAUUAAAACUUCGAUGCAGUGGAAGCCCACAAAAAGAUGUCGCGGGGCUGAUGUAGGUAUCCGGAACAUAUUUAACUAGGAAUAAAUAGAAUAGCAUAAACACAGCGCGGUUGCGGCGUGUGUAGUGCGGCGGCGGCGACGACAACCCAUAAAUUUGAAUGGUCAAGUGGGUUUGGACGUGGGCCAGGGGUUGCAAACAUUUCCCUGGAGUUAGAAGUAGAUUUGUUUUUGUGUGAUUCACGUAUACGAAUAGGAUUUAUUUGAGUUUUUUAGCUUUGCCAAUAAAUGUUAUAUAAUGCCUUAAAUCUAGUAGUGUGGAUAAAAUGAUUGACAAUUCGCUGUAAUUUUGAAAAAUCCAUUAAAUUGCAUAACCUGUUUAUAAUUUACAUGUAAUGAGUAAAAUAACAUUAAUAACUACAAAUAUUACAUUGUAGGCGAACAGAAUAUUUGUAAGGGUCAUAUUAACCUUAGAUAUGAUAUAAAAUUUUCAUAGUUAAAUAAUUUCAUGCAUGUAUGUCCUAUAUUUAAAAUUUAAUAAUAUACCAAAGGAUAUUCACCGAAAUCGCUAGAAAAAUCAAUUAUUACGCAACUCACACGAUAAAUUUUCAUAUUAAGUAACUUUUUCAAAUAAAAAAAAAAUCCAAAUGUUGAGCACCCCUGUCGCAUUCAAAGCCGCGGCGCCCAGAGCUGUUAUAUCAUGCACAAGUCGAUUCGCACACCAAAAUACGUUCUAAAUAGAUACAGCCACCCAAACGUCCAAGGUAUUUGUAUGAAAACAAUACAAAACUCCAGUGUGGUAUGGCAAAUUUUAUAACAUACAACGGUUUUCUUAUGAGUUUAGUUAUUUUUAUUCGAGUUUUAAAUUGAAUUCUUGGACUAUAUUUUUAUAUUGAAUGGCUGGACUAUUGAAAAAGAUUUGCGAAGACAGUUAGGAAAUUAUCACGUGGGGACCGUAGCAGUAUUACUAUAUAGUAUAUAGUAUACUAUAUAGUAUUCUUAAAAUCUAUACAUAUUAUUAAGCAAAGUCCCCUUUUCUGUCUGUACGUAUAUUAUCGUUUUACCCAAAAUUUACUAAACGGAUUUUUAUGUCAUUUGGUAUGGAGAUAGUUUAACACCCUGGG